Molecule: non-coding RNA, 140 nt
Organism: Caenorhabditis elegans
Lineage: Eukaryota; Metazoa; Nematoda; Chromadorea; Rhabditida; Rhabditidae
Source: Ensembl
ACAUAUCUCACAGAUGCCUUCAUUUUCUUCUCAAUUCUUUUCGCCCGAUCACCACCACAUAUAUAAACUAUUAAAAGCGUUGAAACUGGUGUGAAAUUGAGAGAAAAAGAUAGAGAGAGAAACGAUUUGAGGAUGUUCUU